Molecule: long non-coding RNA, 678 nt
Organism: Vicia villosa (hairy vetch)
Lineage: Eukaryota; Viridiplantae; Streptophyta; Magnoliopsida; Fabales; Fabaceae
Exons: 5
Source: RefSeq, a predicted model, not a curated record
AAACAAAACUUAUAUAUAAUCUAUUAAUUUCUCUUUUAAAAUCAUUUUCCCUAAUAGUUACUUUGAUUAAUCUAAUCGUUUCCGAAAUCGCUUCUCACUUAUCGCGCCUCUCACAGUCUCACUUUCAUUUAUAAAACGCUUCUCAUUUCUGCACAUUCUUGUUCGAGAGCUUCUCACUUCCAAGUUUCUUCUUCGAGCAUAAUCUUGACGCCAAUCAAACAAUGUGACCUUCAACUACUGAACGUGGAUACCGUCGUAGUUCAAAAGGAAUUUACUAGGAGCAGCAAUCCAGUGACUUGUCCUUGUUGUGAGAAGUGGAGUUCCUAACUUUUGUGCUGUUGCAUUAGCUCUCAGUGAUUUAGGAUACAAAGCAGUUGGCAUUAGACUGGACUCGGGUGACCUUGCAUACUUGUCUUGUGAGUCAAGGAAGUUCUUUUGUUCCAUUGAGAAGGAAUUUGAAAUGCCCGAUUUCAGGAAUAUGAGUAUCACUGCUAGUAACGACCUUAACGAGGAUUUGCUUCAGCAAUUAUAAGUGAGAAAGAUAUCAGGGCAGAGUUUGUGUACAAAAUGAAACACGGGCAUGAAGUGUAUGCGAGCAACUCUCACAAGCGACAUGUGAUAAAGGUUAGAACCACGAUACAGUUUUUGGUCAACAGGUGACAUACUCUUAAAUUGACU